CCUACGGGAGGCAGCAGUGGGGAAUAUUGGACAAUGGGGGGAACCCUGAUCCAGCCAUGCCGCGUGUGUGAAGAAGGCCCUCGGGUUGUAAAGCACUUUCAGUGAGGAAGAACGCCUGGUGGUUAAUACCCAUCAGGAAAGACAUCACUCACAGAAGAAGCACCGGCUAACUCCGUGCCAGCAGCCGCGGUAAUACGGAGGGUGCGAGCGUUAAUCGGAAUUACUGGGCGUAAAGCGCGCGUAGGUGGCUUGAUAAGCCGGUUGUGAAAGCCCCGGGCUCAACCUGGGAACGGCAUCCGGAACUGUCAAGCUAGAGUGCAGGAGAGGAAGGUAGAAUUCCCGGUGUAGCGGUGAAAUGCGUAGAGAUCGGGAGGAAUACCAGUGGCGAAGGCGGCCUUCUGGACUGACACUGACACUGAGGUGCGAAAGCGUGGGUAGCAAACAGGAUUAGAUACCCUGUAGUC
Molecule: ribosomal RNA, 464 nt
Filed under: Vreelandella stevensii
Lineage: Bacteria; Pseudomonadati; Pseudomonadota; Gammaproteobacteria; Oceanospirillales; Halomonadaceae
Description: partial 16S ribosomal RNA
Rfam family: Bacterial small subunit ribosomal RNA
Source: RNAcentral